GACGUAGGGCGCGAGCGUUGUCCGGAUUUAUUGGGCGUAAAGAGCUCGUAGGCGGCUUGUCGCGUCGACUGUGAAAACCCGUGGCUCAACCAUGUGGUCUGCAGUCGAUACGGGCAGGCUAGAAUUCGGUAGGGGAGACUGGAAUUCCUGGUGUAGCGGUGAAAUGCGCAGAUAUCAGGAGGAACACCGGUGGCGAAGGCGGGUCUCUGGGCCUAUAUUGACGCUGAGGAGCGAAAGCGUGGGGAGCGAACAGG
Molecule: ribosomal RNA, 254 nt
Filed under: uncultured bacterium
Lineage: Bacteria
Description: partial 16S ribosomal RNA
Rfam family: Bacterial small subunit ribosomal RNA
Source: RNAcentral